GUAGUGAGAGGGCUCAGUAGUGCUUUGCCAGCAUGAUUUUGGGGCAAUUUGGGGGCAGAUAUCGUGCACAAGCAGUGAGAUAUUUCCAUGCAUUUUACUUUCCGGACAUCACCAUGGAACAUAUGGGGGUUUGUGCCUGCAGGCCGGGAUGCUGCAGGACUCCCUGGUCCAUCACCGUUAUGUCUUGGAGCUGCUCCAGUCAGUGAAUGACUUUCUGUGCCUUGGAGUACGUUUUGGUUACUGAGACCCUCGAAUUCCCAUAUGAAUUGUAGCAGCAGCUAGUCAGUUUCUGCAGAGGAGACCGCAGGGACUGUGAUCGAGACCACGUUGAAUAUACGGAUCGUUCUGGGGAGCACUGCCAUUACAAGAGCGCUGUCUUCUGAUCCAGCAAUGUGCUUGGUUUGUCUGUCCAGGUGCCCUCACCUCCAGUGGCAUCCAUCCAGACACCGGAACUGACACUGGCCGUGCUCAGAACUGCCUCAGGCCUGAAGACACAACUGACAAAUAGAAGGGGACCACGCCCUGUUACAGCAGGUGCUCUCACUUUCUGGAUCCUUAUGUAACUGAGCGGUGUCAAUCAGGAUUGCCCGUUUUACAUUGUGUGGCGCUGCU
Molecule: long non-coding RNA, 612 nt
Organism: Camelus dromedarius (Arabian camel)
Lineage: Eukaryota; Metazoa; Chordata; Mammalia; Artiodactyla; Camelidae
Exons: 3
Source: RefSeq, a predicted model, not a curated record